RNAcentral lists this ribosomal RNA (573 nucleotides) under Triticum aestivum (bread wheat). RNAcentral's name for it is "partial small subunit ribosomal RNA". Lineage: Eukaryota; Viridiplantae; Streptophyta; Magnoliopsida; Poales; Poaceae. The record is from RNAcentral.
CAAGACCAGCACAUUUAUGUUGCUUUCAAUAAUCAAAGCAAUGCUGCGAAGAAGGCGCAUUAUACUAGACUAAAUGCCUCAAUUGAUGUUACUAGAGUUCUAUUGCAGCAAGGGUUACCUUUUCGCGGCCAUGAUGAGUCAGAGGAGUCCUUGAAUAAAGGAAAUUUUAAGGAAUUUUAUGCUUAUACAGCACAGCAAAAUCCAGAACUACGCAAGGUUGUAGGCCCUAAUGCUCCAGGUAAUAAUAAGUUGACUUCUUCAAUGAUUCAGAAGGACAUAGCUGAAUGUUUUGCAAAGCAAAUAUUGCAUUCUAUUCUAGAAGAAAUUGGAGAUGGUGUAUUUUCUUUGCUAGUUGAUGAAUCAAGGGAUGUGGCUGGUAAAGAACAGAUGGCAGUGGUCUUGAGAUAUGCUGGUAAAUGCGGAAGUGCGAAAGAGAGUUUAGUUGGCCUUGUUCAUGUGAAGGAGACAACUUCAAAGUACCUCAAGUCUGCUAUUGAUGAUUUAUUUGCAAAACUUAGCUUAAGUCUCAAGCAGGUUAGGGGCCAAGGAUACGACGGCGCGAGCAAUAUGCGA